Molecule: long non-coding RNA, 299 nt
Organism: Hydractinia symbiolongicarpus
Lineage: Eukaryota; Metazoa; Cnidaria; Hydrozoa; Anthoathecata; Hydractiniidae
Exons: 3
Source: RefSeq, a predicted model, not a curated record
AACAGUUACUGUUAUAAUGGAGAAUGCGCGAAAACAUAUUAUCACCAGUGUCGCAGUUUAUGGAAUGCUGACGCAAAGAAAGCUAAUGAUAUCUGUUGGUCAGAAUUGAACAGCGCAAAUCUGAGUGGCUAUGGAACAUGUGAUUCAACAAAAAACAUCUCUUGUACCACAAGCAAUGUCAAGUGUGGACAGCUCCAGUGCGAAGCUAGUGAAACAAAACGAUAUUAUAUCAACUAUGGUACACAAUACAAAGAAUUCACAAUUAACGGUGUCAAAUGCACGUGUGUACAUAAGACCUU